Molecule: ribosomal RNA, 468 nt
Filed under: uncultured bacterium
Lineage: Bacteria
Description: partial 16S ribosomal RNA
Rfam family: Bacterial small subunit ribosomal RNA
Source: RNAcentral
GACGAACGCUGGCGGCGUGCUUAACACAUGCAAGUCGAACGGAAAGGCCCUGAUCUUGUGGGGUGCUCGAGUGGCGAGCGGGUGAGUAAAACGUGAGUAAACUGCCCCUGACUUUGGGAUAACUUCAGGAAACUGGGGCUCUUACAGGAUAGGAGAUCCUGCUGCAUGGUGGGGGUUGGAAAGUUUCGGCGGUUGGGGCUGGACUCGCGGCUUAUCCGCUUGUUGGUGGGGUAGUGGCUUACAAAGGUUUUGACGGGUAGCCGGCCUGAGAGGGGGACCGGCCACAUGGGGACUGAGAGACGGCCCAGUCGCCUACGGGAGGCAGCAGUGGGGAAUAUUGCACAAUGGGCGGAAGCCAGAUGCAGCAACGCCGCGUGCGGGAUGACGUCCUUCGGGUUGUAAACCGCUUUCGCCUGUGACGAAGCGUGAGUGACGGUAAUGGGUAAAGAAGCACCGGCUAACUACGUG